Molecule: non-coding RNA, 21 nt
Filed under: Caenorhabditis elegans
Lineage: Eukaryota; Metazoa; Nematoda; Chromadorea; Rhabditida; Rhabditidae
Source: RNAcentral
UCAACAAUAAAAAUUGAGGAG